This 250-nucleotide ribosomal RNA is filed under the name uncultured bacterium. RNAcentral's name for it is "partial 16S ribosomal RNA". It matches the Rfam family "Bacterial small subunit ribosomal RNA", at positions 1250 to 1500 of the family's 1533-position model. The record is from RNAcentral.
CAAAGCCGCGAGGCAGAGCGAACCCCUAAAAGCCGUCCCAGUUCGGAUCGCAGGCUGCAACCCGCCUGCGUGAAGUCGGAAUCGCUAGUAAUCGCGGAUCAGCAUGCCGCGGUGAAUACGUUCCCGGGCCUUGUACACACCGCCCGUCACACCAUGAGAGUCGGGAACACCCGAAGUCCGUAGCCUAACCGCAAGGGGGGCGCGGCCGAAGGUGGGUUCGAUAAUUGGGGUGAAGUCGUAACAAGGUACC